RNAcentral lists this RNase P RNA (395 nucleotides) under Ignavibacteriales bacterium. Its description in RNAcentral is "Bacterial RNase P class A". It matches the Rfam family "Bacterial RNase P class A". Rfam says of the family: Ribonuclease P (RNase P) is a ubiquitous endoribonuclease, found in archaea, bacteria and eukarya as well as chloroplasts and mitochondria. Its best characterised activity is the generation of mature 5'-ends of tRNAs by cleaving the 5'-leader elements of precursor-tRNAs. Lineage: Bacteria; Pseudomonadati; Ignavibacteriota; Ignavibacteria; Ignavibacteriales. The record is from Rfam by way of RNAcentral.
UCAGUACAUCUGGCAAUCGUGGUGCCAUUGGCAUCAAGGAAAGUCCGGACUUCAAAGGGCAGAGCGUCCUGUUGUAAUGACGGGAACAGCGUUGAGCAAUCAAUGCCGAUGGAUAGUGUCACAGAAAAUAUACCGUCACGAUUUAUUCGUAUGAAUGAAUCGGGAUAAGGGUGAAAUGGCGAGGUAAGAGCUCACCAUCCCGUAGAGCAAUCUGCGGGAGCGAUAAACCCCGCUCGAAGCAAGAACGCGUAAGAGAAGAAUUUCUGCCACAGGUAGAAAGUGAAGUUGCCCGCUUCAUCCGUUUACCAUCUUCUCGGGUAGUUCGCAUCAGAGAAAUGAUUGCCUCUCCGCCUCUGGCGGAGAAACAGAAUUCGGCUUACCGAUGUACUGAAAUA